Molecule: non-coding RNA, 223 nt
Filed under: Paenibacillus rhizosphaerae
Lineage: Bacteria; Bacillati; Bacillota; Bacilli; Caryophanales; Paenibacillaceae
Source: RNAcentral
CCAAAUAUAGUGGAAACAGGUGAACACGGCUGAAUUUGCCAGGCGUUCAUAAUAGGGAAGCACGGUGUGAAUCCGUCACGGUCCCGCCACUGUAACCGGAAGGCCGAGAGCUCCGAGCUUUCGGCACGAUAUCGGCUAAGGCCACUGUCCGUCACGCGGACGGGAAGGCGCCGAAUAUCGCAUUUUCGGGAGUCAGGAGACCUGCCUGUUUUGUCUCACGAAA